CGUGUAGGCGGUCCUCUAAGUCUGGUGUGAAAGCCCUGGGCUUAACCCAGGAAGUGCACUGGAUACUGGAAGACUAGAGGGCGAGAGGGGGAAGCGGAAUUCUUGGUGUAGGGGUGAAAUCCGUAGAUAUCAAGAGGAACAUCGGUGGCGAAGGCGGCUUCCUGGCUCGUUUCUGACGCUCAGACGCGAAAGCGUGGGUAGCAAACA
This 207-nucleotide ribosomal RNA is filed under the name uncultured bacterium. RNAcentral's name for it is "partial 16S ribosomal RNA". It matches the Rfam family "Bacterial small subunit ribosomal RNA", at positions 568 to 774 of the family's 1533-position model. The record is from RNAcentral.